CUUGGUCAUUUAGAGGAAGUAAAAGUCGUAACAAGGUCUCCGUUGGUGAACCAGCGGAGGGAUCAUUAUAGAGGACAACCACCUCUCCAACCACUGUGAACCUACCUAUAUUUCCGUUGCUUCGGCAGGCGGCCCCGGGGGGGCUCUUUAGGCCUGAUGGUGCCUGCCGAGCGGCAAAAAAAAGAAACUCUUUGAAUUUCCAGCGUCUUUCAGUGGAUUACAAGGCCAACCUUUAUAGGGCGGCACAAUCAGUAAAAACUUUCAACAACGGAUCUCUUGGUUCUGGCAACGAUGAAGAACGCAGCGAAAUGCGAUAAGUAAUGUGAAWUGCAGAAUUCCGUGAAUCAUCGAAUCUUUGAACGCACAUUGCGCCCACUAACACUCUAGUGGGCAUGCCUGUCCGAGCGUCAUUACAACCCUCAAGCUAGUGGUUAUCUCUCCCCUAUUACUGGGGAAGAGAUGGUUAUAGGCCUGGUGUUGGAGCACUACAGCGAGGUGUAAGCCUGCUAUAGGCUCCGAAAUACAGUGGCGGGCCCCNGUUGGACCCCGAGCGCAGUAGUUUUCUUCUCGCUCCGGGCUAGUUCAACGUCUUUUUUAGGUGGCCCUGCCGUUAAAAUUGAAGCAGCUAGCUGUUUCUAAUAUAGAAGGUUGACCUCGGAUCAGGUAGGAAUACCCGCUGAACUUAAGCAUAUCAAUAAGCGGAGGA
This 706-nucleotide ribosomal RNA is filed under the name uncultured fungus. RNAcentral's name for it is "eukaryotic LSU rRNA". The stretch from base 257 to 410 matches the Rfam family "5.8S ribosomal RNA". The record is from RNAcentral. Lineage: Eukaryota; Fungi.